AAUAAUACCCCAUAGUUCACCACGCCUGGAACGGUGGGUGGAUCAAAGCUCCGGCGGCACAGGAUGGGCCUGCGGCGUAUCAGGUCGUAGGGGGUGUAACGUACCCUCUAGCCUUCAACGCGUACGGGUUGUGGGAGCAAUCGCCCGGAGAUGGAUUCUGAGACACGAAUCCAGACCCUACGGGGUGCAGCAGGCGCGAAAACUUCACACUGCAGGAAACUGUGAUGAGGGAAUUCCAAGUGGCUAGACAAAGUCUAGUCUUUUACUAACUUUUAAUCGGUUGGUGAAUAAGGGGUGGGAAAGACCGGUGCCAGCCGCCGCGGUAAUACCGGCACCCCAAGUGGUCGUCGCUUUUAUUGGGCCUAAAACGUCCGUCGCCUGUUUGGUACAUUCGUGGGUAAAUCAAGCCGCUUAACGACUUGAAUUCUGCGAGGACGGCCAGACUAGGGACCGGGAGAGGUAUGGGGUACUCUCAGGGUAGGGGUAAAAUCCAGUCAUCCUGAGGGGACCACCUGUUGCGAAGGCGCCAUACUAGAACGGAUCCGACGGUCAGGGACGAAGCCUAGGGGCACGAACCGGAUUAGAUACCCGGGUAGUCCUAGGUGUAAACGCUGUG
Molecule: ribosomal RNA, 616 nt
Filed under: uncultured archaeon
Lineage: Archaea
Description: bacterial SSU rRNA
Rfam family: Archaeal small subunit ribosomal RNA
Source: RNAcentral